CGUAGGGUGCGAGCGUUAAUCGGAAUUACUGGGCGUAAAGCGUGCGCAGGCGGUUUUGUAAGACAGGCGUGAAGUCCCCGGGCCCAACCUGGGAACUGCGUUUGUGACUGCAAGGCUAGAGUAUGGCAGAGGGGGGUGGAAUUCCACGUGUAGCAGUGAAAUGCGUAGAGAUGUGGAGGAACACCGAUGGCGAAGGCAGCCCCCUGGGCCAAUACUGACGCUCAUGCACGAAAGCGUGGGUAGCAAACAGGAUUAGAUACCCUGGUAGUCCACGCCCUAAACGAUGUCAACUAGGUGUUGGGUGGGUAAAACCAUUUAGUACCGGAGCUAACGCGUGAAGUUGACCGCCUGGGGAGUACGGCCGCAAGGUUA
RNAcentral lists this ribosomal RNA (372 nucleotides) under uncultured organism. RNAcentral's name for it is "bacterial SSU rRNA". It matches the Rfam family "Bacterial small subunit ribosomal RNA", at positions 526 to 896 of the family's 1533-position model. The record is from RNAcentral.